AAUAUUGGUAAAUGGAGGCAACUCUGAACCAGCGAAGUCGCGUGAAGGAUGAAGGUCUUAUGGAUUGUAAACUUAUUUUGCAGAGGAAUAAAUAGCGGUACGAGUACCGUUUAGUAUUUACCCUGCGAAUUAGGAUCGGCUAACUACGUGCCAGCAGCCGCGGUAAUACGGAGGAUCCGAGCGUUAUCCGGAUUUAUUGGGUUUAAAGGGUGCGCAGGCGGGAGAUUAAGUCGGCGGUGAAAUUUUGCAGCUCAACUGUAAAAGUGCCUUCGAUACUGGUUUCCUUGAGUGUGGGUGAAGUAAGCGGAAUUUGUGGUGUAGCGGUGAAAUGCUUAGAUAUCACGAGGAACUCCGAUUGCGCAGGCAGCUUACUAAACCACUACUGACGCUCAGGCACGAAGGCGUGGGGAUCAAACAGG
Molecule: ribosomal RNA, 419 nt
Filed under: uncultured bacterium
Lineage: Bacteria
Description: partial 16S ribosomal RNA
Rfam family: Bacterial small subunit ribosomal RNA
Source: RNAcentral